RNAcentral lists this ribosomal RNA (332 nucleotides) under uncultured bacterium. RNAcentral's name for it is "bacterial SSU rRNA". It matches the Rfam family "Bacterial small subunit ribosomal RNA", at positions 568 to 898 of the family's 1533-position model. The record is from RNAcentral.
CGUGUAGGCGGGAAGAUAAGUCAGAUGUGAAAUUCCAUGGCUCAACUGUGGCGCUGCAUCUGAAACUAUUUUUCUUGAGUGAUGGAGAGGAAAGCGGAGUUCCUAGUGUAGCGGUGAAAUGCGUAGAUAUUAGGAGGAACACCAGUGGCGAAGGCGGCUUUCUGGACAUUAACUGACGCUGAGGCGCGAAAGCGUGGGGAGCAAACAGGAUUAGAUACCCUGGUAGUCCACGCUGUAAACGAUGGAUACUAGGUGUAGGAGGUAUCGACCCCUUCUGUGCCGGAGUUAACACAAUAAGUAUCCCACCUGGGGAGUACGGCCGCAAGGUUGAA